CUACGGAGGGUGCAAGCGUUACUCGGAAUCACUGGGCGUAAAGCGCGCGCAGGCGGGCUGAUAAGUUGGAUGUGAAAGCCUACGGCUCAACCGUAGAACUGCAUCCAAAACUGUCAGUCUAGAGUCUGGGAGGGGAAGAUGGAAUUAGUUGUGUAGGGGUAAAAUCCGUAGAGAUAACUAGGAAUACCAAAAGCGAAGGCGAUCUUCUGGAACAGUACUGACGCUGAGGCGCGAAAGCGUGGGGAGCAAACAGGAUUAGAAACCCGAGUAGUCC
RNAcentral lists this ribosomal RNA (274 nucleotides) under uncultured bacterium. Its description in RNAcentral is "partial 16S ribosomal RNA". It matches the Rfam family "Bacterial small subunit ribosomal RNA", at positions 523 to 796 of the family's 1533-position model. The record is from RNAcentral.